Molecule: ribosomal RNA, 630 nt
Filed under: uncultured Lachnospiraceae bacterium
Lineage: Bacteria; Bacillati; Bacillota; Clostridia; Lachnospirales; Lachnospiraceae
Description: bacterial SSU rRNA
Rfam family: Bacterial small subunit ribosomal RNA
Source: RNAcentral
ACGAAGCUUGACGGAUGAUUCUUCGGAAUGAAACCUGAUAUGACUUAGUGGCGGACGGGUGAGUAACACGUGAGCAACCUGCCUUUCAGAGGGGGAUAACGGCUGGAAACGGUCGCUAAUACCGCAUGAUGUGUUCGGAUGGCAUCAUCUGAACAUCAAAGAUUUAUCGCUGAAAGAUGGGCUCGCGUCUGAUUAGAUAGUUGGUGGGGUAACGGCCUACCAAGUCUACGAUCAGUAGCCGGACUGAGAGGUUGAACGGCCACAUUGGGACUGAGAUACGGCCCAGACUCCUACGGGAGGCAGCAGUGGGGAAUAUUGCACAAUGGGGGAAACCCUGAUGCAGCAACGCCGCGUGAAGGAUGACGGUUUUCGGAUUGUAAACUUCUUUUCUUAGUGACGAAGACAGUGACGGUAGCUAAGGAAUAAGCAUCGGCUAACUACGUGCCAGCAGCCGCGGUAAUACGUAGGAUGCAAGCGUUAUCCGGAUUUACUGGGUGUAAAGGGAGCGCAGGCGGGACUGCAAGUUGGAUGUGAAAUACCGUGGCUUAACCACGGAACUGCAUCCAAAACUGUAGUUCUUGAGUGAAGUAGAGGCAAGCGGAAUUCCGAGUGUAGCGGUGAAAUGCGUAG